UUAGAGACAGAAAAAGGAGAGAGAGAUGGUGUCCAACACAAAUUGCCCCGGUGCUGAGCUCUCGCUCUAUCUUUAUCACUGUAUUCCUCGCUCUUUGAUUUUUAAUUUUUGUCACUCAUAUUUCACAUAAGGGUGCAGUUGGCAUACGGAUGCAUCCGUAGCUGUAGAGGUAAGAUGCACCUUCAAAUUUUAUCAUGGCAUAUAAUUUUGAUGUAAAAUGUUCUUAGGAUUAUCUCAAAAUCUAUUUUUAUAUCUAAUUAUAAGAUUUUAAAUUUAGAAAAUGGUUAAAAUCAAAUAGAUNNNNNNNNNNNNNNNNNNNNGUAGUACUUAAUUAUCUUUUUAUUUUUCAUGGUCAUAACAUCUCGAGAUGAUCAAUGAAAGAGUUUUUCAACAUUAAAACUACUUUUUUUAAUGGAUUUUUGAGGUGCAUCCAUAGUUCUACAUUAUAAGGUUGCAUCCUUAUAUAAACUUUUCCCUUCUUUUAUUAUUCAUUUAGGUUGCAUCCUUAUAUAAACUUUUCCCUUCUUUUAUUAUUCAUUUGUGUUUGUUGUAAUGAAUGGAAAUGGCCCUAAUCUAAGAAUGUAUUGCUUCUCUCUUAAAAUGUUAGUUGUUUACCUUCUCGUGAGAUUAGGGUUUCUUAAACCAUAAGAAAUUAGGGAGAAAAAACGAGGAUGAGAAAGCCAUGAUUAGGGCUGCUAGUGGGCUGGGUAUCGACGAACCUCACCUGGCCUUAAUCCUACAUUAGGGCGGGCAAUGGCGGCCCUGGCCUAACCCUACUCCCAAUACGGCCGGCCAGGCCUGGCCUAAGUCCACUCCUAGCCAUUUUUGGGCCGGGCGGGGCCAGAAAAAACUAAAUAUAAUAAAAGGAAAAGAAAAGAAAAAUGAGGGCCAACUAGGACGGGCAGAACGAAGCUGCCCCUGUCAUAGACCUGGCCUGGCCCUUGGGCUACGUUUUAUGGCCUAGGCCCUAAAAUUUUAGGGCAAAGCCUACUGGCCAGGAGGGCCACCAACCCAUUGCCACCCUAAUCAUCGGUAACUUUUUCUAGUUAGGCCCCGAUCCAAAAGUAAAUCAUUUGCAGCCUAGGCCCAGAUUGAAAUAAAUCAUUGAAUCCCGAGCCUUGCCCAAAGUGUUAUGCGUGUAGAUAUAGUGCUAGGCCCGGGUCAAGCCUGACUUUGUUUGGUCCUUGAAUGCCUGGCCCAUGUAUUUCAAAGUGUGGCCCUAAGCCCUGAUUAGCCUGGUAGCACACAAGUUAGCCCGACCUGUUUUGUAGAUCAGUGUAAAGUAGGGAUGGCAAUGGGCAGGGUGGCCCGACCCGGUGCGGUCGGCUCAGCUCUAAAAAGCUAGGUUUGGGCUACAAAUAUGACUUGAGGGCCUGGCCAAGGCCAGGCCACCAUGGCUUAGGCGGGCCUUUGCUUGGGCAAGGGCCUAGACGGGACUGGCCUGAUUCCACGGGGCCCAACCAUUAUGUUGCUAUGUUUUGUUUUUGUUAUUCUUAAUUAGCCGGCCCAGCCCUAAUAGGCCUUGAGCUAGGGCCACUUUUGCCCUGUCCAGGCUAGCCCUCAGGGGAACAGGGCCAGGCUUGGGGCAAUGCCGGGCUGGUCCAGGCUUGGGCCAACGCUGGGCAGGUCCAAGCUUGGGCCAAUGCUUGACUGGCCCAGGCCCCAUUACCAAACCUAAUAUGAAAUAUGGAGUCAUAUUCUCAAAGGAUUACUUUGUGUAAUAAAGUUCGGAUUUGAGUCGAAGAUUAUCACAUUGUUGUCAAAGUACUGCAUUGUCACAUGUAGUCCAACAUUUCUGAACGCAUUCCAGGUACAUGAUCAAACAAUUUAUGUGAACUAGAUCACAAGGUGGUGUAUUUUGUGUGUGUUGAAUUGUCUAUCAAACGAAUACCGUUAACUUUUCUUUAUAGUUUGCACCAUGAGGUGGCCUAAACGAUAGACCGGCGAAAUUUUGGAUCCAAGCUCCACCCAUAAACUUUUACUUAUAUUAUACAUGAAAAAUGAUUGUUGUACCGUACAAAAGUGUACACUUCCAAAAAGUUUGUAUUCAUCUCUUAGGAUCAUCUCAUAAAAAGGAAAAGUAUACACUUUCAUUGUUUUUAAAGACACGAUCUAGUAAAUAGUUUUUCCAAAUUCUAUUGCGCCCCAUCGCGUAUUUCAUCCAUUUGCGCCGAACUACUGAUUUUUAUUUUAUUGGGUUUUUUUUUUUUUCUGACUCUUAUUUUUUGGAGGAAGUCUUGCACUAUACUCUUGAUUGUUGAGCCGCCCUUGCAACUUGGUUGUAGAUGGUGUCCCUUAUUGUUAUUUAUUCACCUCUGAUUUUUUUGUAUUGGAUUUUUAUUGAAACUCUUAUUUUUUAGGGUUUUAGAGUGAUGCUUGUGGUGUUGUUUCUCAUAUCUGAUUUUUUCUUAAAUUGUGGCUUGGAUACACCAAUUUUUUGUAGGAAGCCCUUGACCAUAUUCUUGAUUGUUGAGCUGCCCCUGUAAGUCGGUUUAUAUACUUGACAGACUCGAGGCUCAUUCAUGAGAGGGACUUUUUGUAGUUUGACAGACUCAAUGCUCAUUCAUGAGAGGGACUUUUUGUAGAAAGAAAAGACUGAACGAGAUUGAGGUGUGUUAGAGAGUGGGCUUUGUUUUAAGUCGGUGAAAAUCUCUCCACUAACUUGUUUAGAUGAUGUAUCGAGGAAAAUCAAAUUAGCCCAAUCAGAAAUGGAGCUUAUAUGUCAAAUGUGGUCGUGAAACUGGGUUUCACUGAUGUCAAAGAUCUUCAACAAUUCCUGAAAGUUAGACCCAAUACUCCACCUCGAAAUUGAUUUCAGGCCUGAGAAAUCAGAAAUCCUUUCCAGAACUCCAUUUCCUGCAAGAUUAUGAGAUUUGAGCUCAAGCACAACAAUUUUGUGGGAUUUCCCCAACUAAUCUAUUUAAAGAAAUAUCAAUAGAAACCAGAGAUUUCAAGCUCAAUAUUUGUACAGGAAUGCUCCCCUCAAAAGAGACAUACCUGUACAAGAAGCACAACAAUCCAUAGUCUUUGACCAUACCUGUCGUAUUUACAAAAAAAUGUCUACAUAUAUUUGUAUGCCACAGAACAGUCACUUCAGGAUUAGAGGUAGAUGUUAUUGAAUUUGCUGAUAAUUUUAUAAAACAUGUCUAUUUUCCAUGUGAAUAGAUGUUAUUGAGUUUGCUGAAAUUUAUUUUUACAUGCCUUAUUCACAUACAUUCCAGCACUUCAAUGUUGCAUUUCAAUGUCUGAUCUUGGCAUGACUAAGUACCAUCAUUAUGUUUACUUUUUAUAAAAUGUGGAUGCAGAUCAAGACCUUUGAACCCAUAAGGAUGUCAUCAGCUUCCACAAACAAUGGAGGAUAUCCACACCGUCUGCGGUGUCGAAUACCAUGUAAUUUAAGUACAUCAAGUUUCCUAUCCAACCCUAGAGGAAUGUACUAUCGGGGUCCAAAUUGUACUUUUUUUCAAUGGUGCGAUGAAUAUAUGAAAGUGAUAAACUACAUUUUGAACUUGAGACAUCCUCAUGUACAACAAAGGAAUCAAUCACAAGUAUCGCAAGUGCAUCUCAUGGACAAGCAAGUGCAUCUCAUGGACAAGCCUAGG
This 3602-nucleotide long non-coding RNA is filed under the name Amborella trichopoda. Its description in RNAcentral is "long non-coding RNA (ATRI_LNC001873)". Lineage: Eukaryota; Viridiplantae; Streptophyta; Magnoliopsida; Amborellales; Amborellaceae. The record is from RNAcentral.